AUGAAUAUGUACACCCGCAGCGCCUCCUUCACUCCGAAGACUUUCACUUUCCCCCUUGCACAAAACCGAACAUCCCACCCCACCACCACCUCCAAGCUAAAAUACCUGGGCCGCCCCUCCCCACGAAGGGACGCGCUCCAGGCGAAUGGGGAGGGCCCGGAAGUCGGGUCCGUGACAGAGAAGCCGGCCCACCGCCUCCCGGUCGGAAGCGGCAGUGCAGGUGAGGCGGCGGCCAGCCUGGGGACCGCGCGGGUAAGGAGCGGGAGGGCGGACUGCACCGCGAGGUUGGCGGGGGACGGCCAUGCACGCCUCGCCUCGGCCUUCCUGCACCGUAGGGGCUGGCAGCCCUCCCGCCACCCCUGGGCACCUGUCGACCACGUCUGGGCGAGGGCGGGUCGGCUCCCGCCCUCGGGCCCUCACCCUACCCCGGCCAGCCGCGGUGGGGACGCCGGGUCAGCGAAGGGUUAAGGGACUCGCUCCCUCCUCUCGGCUCCCUCACCCUUGGAAAGUCCCCGAAAUGACGUUUCAACCCGACAAUUUAAAAAAGAGUUUAAUUAUAGAGACAGGCUCUGGGAGCUGGAACAAACCCUCGGUCGGCGGGGCCGGUAAACAACUCGGGAGCGAGCGGGCUGGGCCAGCCGCAGCCUUGCGGAGCCCGCGCCCCCGGGGAGAGGGGGAGGGGAGGGCCUCUGGGAGUUGGAAAAGCCGAGGAAAUUCGAGGAAUCAGCUUUCUUUGGAAAAACCCACUUUGUAGCCAUUGUGGGGCGCCUGAUGGUGCUCCUGGCCGGUUCCGCAGCCUUGGAGGGAAAGCGGCGCUGCCCGAAGCAGGGGCACAGCCGGUGCCCCGCGGGGACAGGCCCUGGGCCGGGAAGGGGGCCCCGCCCGCUCCCUGUCCCCUUCCCCUUUGCUUUUUUCCAGCCCCUCCUCCGGUCCCCCCAGCUGAGCUUCGCGAACCCUCGGGAGUUAAAGACCAGCCGGCCCCUUUUUUGGGGGGGUGGGAGGGUGGGGGAGCGGGAAUGGGUGGAGGCCGGGGGAAUAAAAAACCGAAAUAGCUUCACAUCAGAACUCAGACUAACCUUGUGGUUUCAACGCGCACCCUGCUCUGUUCUGAAAUCUGGAACUCAUUACCUCAUCACCAAGAAACUGCACGAAAUCUUCCCCGCCCCCCCCCCGCCCCAACACCCACUUGGGAAAG
Nomascus leucogenys (northern white-cheeked gibbon) is the source of this 1195-nucleotide RNA transcript. RefSeq lists it as uncharacterized. The transcript has a single exon. NCBI's taxonomy places the organism in Eukaryota, Metazoa, Chordata, Mammalia, Primates, Hylobatidae. The record is from RefSeq and is a predicted model, not a curated record.